CCUACGGGAGGCAGCAGUGGGGAAUCUUGCGCAAUGGGCGAAAGCCUGACGCAGCCAUGCCGCGUGAAUGAUGAAGGUCUUAGGAUUGUAAAAUUCUUUCACCGGGGACGAUAAUGACGGUACCCGGAGAAGAAGCCCCGGCUAACUUCGUGCCAGCAGCCGCGGUAAUACGAAGGGGGCUAGCGUUGCUCGGAAUUACUGGGCGUAAAGGGAGCGUAGGCGGACAUUUAAGUCAGGGGUGAAAUCCCAGAGCUCAACUCUGGAACUGCCUUUGAUACUGGAUGUCUUGAGUGUGAGAGAGGUAUGUGGAACUCCGAGUGUAGAGGUGAAAUUCGUAGAUAUUCGGAAGAACACCAGUGGCGAAGGCGACAUACUGGCUCAUUACUGACGCUGAGGCUCGAAAGCGUGGGGAGCAAACAGGAUUAGAUACCCUGGUAGUCCACGCCGUAAACGAUGAUUGCUAGUUGUCGGGAUGUUUACAUCUCGGUGACGCAGCUACGCAUAAGACAUCCGCCGUCGGGAGGUACGGUCGCGAGAAUAAACUACAAGAGUAGUAGACGCGAGAGACGCGACGACGACGACGAGGAGGAGAGG
Molecule: ribosomal RNA, 594 nt
Filed under: uncultured bacterium
Lineage: Bacteria
Description: bacterial SSU rRNA
Rfam family: Bacterial small subunit ribosomal RNA (bases 1-515)
Source: RNAcentral